GAUGAAGAACGCAGCGAAAUGCGAUAAGUAAUGUGAAUUGCAGAAUUCAGUGAAUCAUCGAAUCUUUGAACGCACAUUGCGCCCCUUGGUAUUCCGAGGGGCAUGCCUAUUCGAGCGUCAUUAUCACCCCUCAAGCUCCGGCUUGGUGUUGAGGCCUGCUGUAAAGGCACCCUCUAAAAUCAGUGGCAGUGCUGUCAGGCUCUAAGCGUAGUAAUUCUCUCGCUACAGGGUCCCGGUGGACACUCGCCAGAACCCCCCCAUUUUUUAAUGAUUGACCUCGGAUUAGGUAGGGAUACCCGCUGAACUUAAGCAUAUCAAUAAGCGGAGA
This 328-nucleotide unclassified non-coding RNA is filed under the name soil metagenome. Its description in RNAcentral is "partial contains 5.8S ribosomal RNA, internal transcribed spacer 2, and large subunit ribosomal RNA". The stretch from base 1 to 120 matches the Rfam family "5.8S ribosomal RNA", at positions 35 to 154 of the family's 154-position model. The record is from RNAcentral.